UGGGGAAUAUUGCACAAUGGGCGAAAGCCUGAUGCAGCGACGCCGCGUGAACGAUGAAGUAUUUCGGUAUGUAAAGUUCUAUCAGCAGGGAAGAAAAAAAUGACGGUACCUGACUAAGAAGCACCGGCUAAAUACGUGCCAGCAGCCGCGGUAAUACGUAUGGUGCAAGCGUUAUCCGGAUUUACUGGGUGUAAAGGGAGCGUAGGCGGUUUUAUAAGUCUGAUGUGAAAGCCCGGGGCUCAACCCCGGUAUUGCAUUGGAAACUGUAGAACUAGAGUGUCGGAGGGGUAAGUGGAAUUCCUAGUGUAGCGGUGAAAUGCGUAGAUAUUAGGAGGAACACCAGUGGCGAAGGCGGCUUACUGGACGAUUACUGACGCUGAGGCUCGAAAGCGUGGGGAGCAAACAGG
Molecule: ribosomal RNA, 407 nt
Filed under: uncultured bacterium
Lineage: Bacteria
Description: bacterial SSU rRNA
Rfam family: Bacterial small subunit ribosomal RNA
Source: RNAcentral